This 1046-nucleotide ribosomal RNA is filed under the name uncultured bacterium. Its description in RNAcentral is "bacterial SSU rRNA". It matches the Rfam family "Bacterial small subunit ribosomal RNA", at positions 94 to 1120 of the family's 1533-position model. The record is from RNAcentral.
CAUGGCAGACGGGUGAGUAACGCGUAGGGAAUCUACCUUUUUGUGGGGAAUAACGCUCCGAAAGGAGUGGUAAUACCGCAUGAGACCGUCGACUGGGAUGUCGGUGGUGAAACCUGGGGACCGCAAGGCCUGGGGCAAAAAGAGGAUCCUGCGUCUGAUUAGCUAGUUGGCGGGGUAAUGGCCCACCAAGGCGACGAUCAGUAGCCGGCCUGAGAGGGUGAUCGGCCACACUGGAACUGAGACACGGUCCAGACUCCUACGGGAGGCAGCAGUGGGGAAUUUUGCGCAAUGGACGAGAGUCUGACGCAGCAACGCCGCGUGGGUGAUGAAGGUCUUCGGACUGUAAAACCCUGUCGUCAGGGACGAAGGCAUGGGAGUUAAUAGCUCUUAUGCUUGACGGUACCUGGAGAGGAAGCCCCGGCUAACUCUGUGCCAGCAGCCGCGGUAAUACAGAGGGGGCAAGCGUUAUUCGGAAUUAUUGGGCGUAAAGGGCGCGUAGGCGGUUUUUUAAGUCAGAUGUGUAAUCCCCGAGCUCAACUUGGGAACUGCAUCUGAGACUGGAAGGCUAGAGUACUGGAGAGGGUGGUGGAAUUCCUCGUGUAGCGGUGAAAUGCGUAGAGAUGAGGAGGAACACCAGUGGCGAAGGCGGCCACCUGGACAGUAACUGACGCUGAGGCGCGAAAGUGUGGGUAGCAAACAGGAUUAGAUACCCUGGUAGUCCACGCUGUAAACGAUGAACACUUGGUGUGGAGGGAGUUGACCCCCUUCCGUGCCGGAGCUAACGCGUUAAGUGUUCCGCCUGGGGAGUACGGUCGCAAGGCUGGAACUCAAAGGAAUUGACGGGGGCCCGCACAAGCGGUGGAGCAUUGGGUUUAAUUCGACGCAACGCGAAGAACCUUACCUGGGCUUGAACUGUGGUGGACCGGUGCAGAGAUGUGCCUUUUCGCAAGAACUGCUACAGAGGUGCUGCAUGGCUGUCGUCAGCUCGUGUCGUGAGAUGUUGGAUUAAGUCCCGCAACGAGCGCAACCCUUACCCGUAGUUGCCA